UAGAUAAAAAUUAGAAUUUACUACUUUACAUUUUACUCAAUUAUUAUUGUUACAUUGUCACAGUGUGAUAAGAUGGGCGUACCACUACGGGCACUAGCUGCAGGUCGAUGUUGCGAGCUCGAUGGUCGCUUCCUAGAUCCGCUAUCGCGCGCGGAGUAAACCUGCAAUGUCCUCAGUUGCAGAGAGCAACAGAGACAUAGUAUCAUUCUAGAACUGUCUGGCGAGCAGUGGUAACAUCGAGUCAAAGUCGCAGGAAGAGCUAACAAGAGGGCCAAUUGGAAAUUUAUUGUUUUCACAUAACGCUGGAAGCUCGAUGGUGCACGCCGGCGGUCUAUUCGUUGGUGGCAAAUUCUCAGCGCUAAUUUCGUUCAGCAACAUCCGGAGGAACGCUACGAAUACAUGGGCUGGGAGUUCGAGGUGCAGCAGGACGAACUAUUUGACUGCUUAGCGGAAUGCCGGAAAGAAGAAUUCAGGGUGGCCACUGUCCAUGUUGCAGCUGUGACUAGCCGGAAAGGAAUUCAGGGUGGCCACUGUCCAUGUUGCAGCUGUGACUAGUCGGAAAGGAAUUCAGGGUGGUCGCUGUCCAUGUUGCAGCUGUGAAUAGUCGGAAAGGAACUCAGGGUGGUCGCUGUCCAUAUUGCAGCUGUGAAUAGUCGGAAAGGAAUUCAUGGUGGUCACUGUCCAUGUUGCAGCUGUGAAUAGUCGGAAAGGAAUUCAGGAUGGUCGCUGUCCAUGUUGUAGCUGUGAAUAGUCGGAAAGGAAUUCACGGUGGUCUCUGUCCGUGUUGCAGCUGUGAAUAGUCGGAAAGGAAUUCAGGGUGGCCACUGUCCAUGUUGCAGCUGUGACUAGUCGGAAAGGAAUUCAGGAUGGUCGCUGUCCAUGUUGCAGCUGUGACUAGUCGGAAAGGAAUUCAGGGUGGUCACUGUCCAUGUUGCAGUUGUGAAUAGUCGGAAAGCUUGUGUGCGUACAUUGUCACAGAGACUGCAAGGACCGAGCAGUUCGAUCACCAGUGCAACUUGUGACAGGAUGAAAUGCUGGUGAUGCAGAAUGCGGAGUACAGCGCUACCAGUGAUUGGUCAGUGCUGGUCUGUAUAGUGUACAGCUGCUGCUACUGCCGCCGCCGUCACCAUUCUACCCAUGAUCAUCAGUGGGCACUGGUGCUGAUGUCUUUUGCAUAUGUGCGUACCACUAGUAUGUAGCCAGCCGCUAAGUAAUAAUCUACUGCUUUGCCAAUGCACGGAAUACAUACCGUCUUUGCCGGAGUAUGACGCGCUCCCCCUUUUUUGAACAAGGUUUUGGCAACUCAUGGCUUAUCCUGAAUAAUAUGCAGCCUGGAUUUGAGAGCAUUAUCGAUCAUAAAGACAGUACUAUACUGCGACCAUUGUCAGAAUGUAUCAUGAAAAAUGAGCAUGCAUAUAUGGCUUGCACAGGGUCAGAGGUCAGAGGCAGCACACUUCACAGCAGUUUUACUAAUUGUACUACUUUUCGAAGUACAGUACAUGCAUUUUCAUAUUCACAUUGUGUGCACCUGCGAUUUGGGGCCAGACCGAAUAGUGCUUCUAAAGUGUGCACUGUACUCCGUCAAAUACGGUAGUGUGACUUAUUGUGCAGCUAGUACAUGUGUGGUAGAAUUUGAGUGUGUUGGUACAGCGGCUAUAGUACAGCAUAUUGGUGUUGGUAC
Long non-coding RNA from Sycon ciliatum, 1681 nucleotides. RefSeq lists it as uncharacterized. Lineage: Eukaryota; Metazoa; Porifera; Calcarea; Leucosolenida; Sycettidae. The transcript has 12 exons. The record is from RefSeq and is a predicted model, not a curated record.